ACGGGAGUAGACUAACAGGAUCCCCUAGUAACUGCGAGUGAAGCGGGAAAAGCUCAAAUUUAAAAUCUGGCGGUCUUUGGCUGUCCGAGUUGUAGUCUGGAGAAGCGUUUUCCGCGCUGGACCGUGUACAAGUCCCUUGGAAUAGGGCGUCAUAGAGGGUGAGAAUCCCGUCUUUGACACGGACUACCAGUGCUUUGUGAUGCGCUCUCAAAGAGUCGAGUUGUUUGGGAAUGCAGCUCAAAAUGGGUGGUAAAUUCCAUCUAAAGCUAAAUAUUGGCGAGAGACCGAUAGCGAACAAGUACCGUGAGGGAAAGAUGAAAAGCACUUUGGAAAGAGAGUUAAACAGUACGUGAAAUUGCUAAAAGGGAAACGCUUGAAGUCAGUCGCGUUAUGCAGAACUCAGCCUGGCUUUUGCUUGGUGUAUUUUCUGUAUGACGGGCCAGCAUCAAUUUUGGCCGCUGGAAAAAGGCCUCAGAAAUGUGGCACCUUCGGGUGUGUUAUAGUCUGAGGUCAUAUACAGCGGCUGGGAUUGAGGUCUGCAGCACGCCUUUAUGGCUGGGGUUCGCCCACAUUCGUGCUUAGGAUGCUGGCGUAAUGGCUUUAAACGACCCGUCUUGAAACACGGACCAAGGAGUCUAACAUGCCUGCGAGUGUUUGGGUGGAAAACCCGAGCGCGCAAUGAAAGUGAAAGUUGAGAUCCCUGUCGUGGGGAGCAUCGACGCCCGGACCAGACCUUUUGUGACGGAUCUGCGGUAGAGCAUGUAUGUUGGGACCCGAAAGAUGGUGAACUAUGCCUGAAUAGGGUGAAGCCAGAGGAAACUCUGGUGGAGGCUCGUAGCGAUUCUGACGUGCAAAUCGAUCGUCAAAUUUGGGUAUAGGGGCGAAAGACUAAUCGAACCAUCUAUAAGCUGGUUCCUGCCGAGUUCUCCCCCCGAGAAA
Molecule: ribosomal RNA, 939 nt
Filed under: Cerrena zonata
Lineage: Eukaryota; Fungi; Basidiomycota; Agaricomycetes; Polyporales; Cerrenaceae
Description: partial large subunit ribosomal RNA
Rfam family: Eukaryotic large subunit ribosomal RNA
Source: RNAcentral